CGGGACGGGGUGGAGUAAUGUCUGGGGAAACAGCCUGAUGGAGGGGGGUAACUACUGGAAACGGGGGCUAAUACCGCAUAACGUCGCAAGACCAAAGAGGGGGACCUUCGGGGCCUCUUGCCAUCGGAUGUGCCCAGAUGGGAUUAGCUAGUAGGUGGGGUAACGGCUCACCUAGGCGACGAUCCCUAGCUGGUCUGAGAGGAUGACCAGCCACACUGGAACUGAGACACGGUCCAG
RNAcentral lists this ribosomal RNA (237 nucleotides) under uncultured bacterium. Its description in RNAcentral is "partial 16S ribosomal RNA". It matches the Rfam family "Bacterial small subunit ribosomal RNA", at positions 104 to 334 of the family's 1533-position model. The record is from RNAcentral.